This 428-nucleotide ribosomal RNA is filed under the name uncultured bacterium. Its description in RNAcentral is "bacterial SSU rRNA". It matches the Rfam family "Bacterial small subunit ribosomal RNA", at positions 355 to 774 of the family's 1533-position model. The record is from RNAcentral.
UAGGGAAUCUUCGGCAAUGGACGAAAGUCUGACCGAGCAACGCCGCGUGAGUGAAGAAGGUUUUCGGAUCGUAAAGCUCUGUUGUAGGGGAAGAACGACCAAUAAGCGAAUAGGUUAUUGGAGUGACGGUACCCUACCAGAAAGCCACGGCUAACUACGUGCCAGCAGCCGCGGUAAUACGUAGGUGGCAAGCGUUGUCCGGAAUUAUUGGGCGUAAAGCGCGCGCAGGCGGUCUCUUAAGUCUGAUGUGAAAGCCCCCGGCUCAACCGGGGAGGGUCAUUGGAAACUGGGAGACUUGAGUACUGGAGAGAAGAGUGGAAUUCCACGUGUAGCGGUGAAAUGCGUAGAGAUGUGGAGGAACACCAGUGGCGAAGGCGACUCUUUGGCCAGAAACUGACGCUGAGGCGCGAAAGCGUGGGGAGCAAACA